Long non-coding RNA from Brassica oleracea var. oleracea, 175 nucleotides. RefSeq lists it as uncharacterized. The transcript has 3 exons. NCBI's taxonomy places the organism in Eukaryota, Viridiplantae, Streptophyta, Magnoliopsida, Brassicales, Brassicaceae. The record is from RefSeq and is a predicted model, not a curated record.
AUGGACGUGGUCAAACAUGGUUCAACCGAUCCGGGAACGGGAUCAGCGCAUGGAUCAACCGUAUGAUGUACUCGGCCCUCGAUAAGGGACAUCCGACUGUCACUGACUUCCCUACCGAUAAGCAGCAUCUGUGGUUUCGUCAGUUUGCGCAAGAAUUCAACUGGAAUUCCGAUGA